Kogia breviceps (pygmy sperm whale) is the source of this 947-nucleotide non-coding RNA. Lineage: Eukaryota; Metazoa; Chordata; Mammalia; Artiodactyla; Physeteridae. The record is from RefSeq and is a predicted model, not a curated record.
CCGGAAGUACCUCGUACUGGCUGGGAGCUCCAGUAAGGAGCGGGUGUUCUGCGUUGCAGACCUACCUAUAUUUCCAAGACUUUCCAAACCUUAUAAUAAAGAGGAGCACUGGCCAGUUCCUCAAAGGUGAAGAACACUUGAUAGCAACAGCAUGAACUUCUCCCAGUCACAGAAUGGCCUUGUGUGACACUGAUAUUCUGUGCAACUCUCUGUGUUCAUCAAGAAAGCACCAAGCAAAGUAGCAGGAUACAAAAUUAAUGCACAGAAAUCUCUUGCAUUCCUAUACACCAAUGAUGAAAAAUCUGAGAGAGAAAUUAAGGAAAUACUCCCAUUUACUAUUGCAACAAAAAGAAUAAAAUACCUAGGAAUAUAUCUACCUAAGGAGACAAAAGACUUCUAUGCAGAAAACUAUAAGACACUGAUGAAAGAAAGUAAAGAUGAUACAAACAGAUGGAGAGAUAUACCAUGUUCUUGGAUUGGAAGAAUUGACAUUGUGAAAAUGACUAUACUACCCAAAGCAAUCUACAGAUUCAAUGCCAUUCCUAUCAAACUACCAAUGGCAUUUUUCACAGAACUAGAACAAAAAAUUUCACAAUUUGUAUGGAAACACUAAAGACCCCAAAUAGCCAAAGCAAUAUUGAGAAAGAAAAACGGAGCUGGAAGAAUCAGGCUCCCUGACUUCAGACUAUACUACAAAGCUACAGUAAUCAAGACAGUAUGGUACUGGCACAAAAACAGAAAUAUAGAUCAAUGGAACAGGAUAGAAAGCCCAGAGAUAAAGCCAUGCACCUAUGGUCACCUUAUUUUUGAUAAAGGAGGCAAGAAUAUACAGUGGAGAAAAGAAAGCCUCUUCAAUAAGUGUUGCUGGGAACACUGGAUGGCUACCUGUAAAAGAAUGAAAUUAGAACACUCCCUAACACCAUACACAAAAAUAAACUCAAAAUGGA